CCUACGGGUGGCAGCAGUGGGGGAUAUUGGACAAUGGGGGGAACCCUGAUCCAGCGACGCCGCGUGAGUGAAGAAGUAUUUCGGUAUGUAAAGCUCUGUCAGCAGGGAAGAAAGAAAUGACGGUACCUGAACAAGAAGCCCCGGCUAACUACGGGCCAGCAGCCGCGGGAAUACGUAGGGGGCAAGCGUUAUCCGGAAUUACUGGGUGGAAGGGGAGCGUAGACGGUUAAGUAAGUCUGGAGUGAAAGGCCGGGGCCCAACCCCGGGACUGCUCUGGAAACUAUUGAACUUGAGUGCAGGAGAGGUAAGCGGAAUUCCUAGUGUAGCGGUGAAAUGCGUAGAUAUUAGGAGGAACACCAGUGGCGAAGGCGGCUUACUGGACUGUAACUGACGUUGAGGCUCGAAAGCGUGGGGAGCAAACAGGAUUAGAUACCCUGGUAGUC
This 443-nucleotide ribosomal RNA is filed under the name uncultured bacterium. RNAcentral describes it as "partial 16S ribosomal RNA". It matches the Rfam family "Bacterial small subunit ribosomal RNA", at positions 338 to 795 of the family's 1533-position model. The record is from RNAcentral.